This 460-nucleotide ribosomal RNA is filed under the name uncultured bacterium. RNAcentral's name for it is "partial 16S ribosomal RNA". It matches the Rfam family "Bacterial small subunit ribosomal RNA", at positions 338 to 795 of the family's 1533-position model. The record is from RNAcentral.
CCUACGGGCGACAGCAGUGAGGAAUAUUGGUCAAUGGGCGCUAGCCUGAACCAGCCAAGUAGCGUGAAGGAUGACUGCCCUACGGGUUGUAAACUUCUUUUAUAAGGGAAUAAAGUGAGGCACGUAUACCUCUUUGUAUGUACUUUAUGAAUAAGGAUCGGCUAACUCCGUGCCAGCAGCCGCGGUAAUACGGAGGAUCCGAGCGUUAUCCGGAUUUAUUGGGUUUAAAGGGAGCGUAGAUGGGUUGUUAAGUCAGUUGUGAAAGUUUGCGGCUCAACCGUAAAAUUGCAAUUGAUACUGGCAGCCUUGAGUACAGUAGAGGUAGGCGGAAUUCGUGGUGUAGCGGUGAAAUGCUUAGAUAUCACGAAGAACUCCGAUUGCGAAGGCAGCCUACUAAACUGUCACUGACACUGAUGCUCGAAAGUGUGGGUAUCAAACAGGAUUAGAUACCCGAGUAGUC